Molecule: transfer RNA, 76 nt
Filed under: Candidatus Rokuibacteriota bacterium
Lineage: Bacteria; Candidatus Rokuibacteriota
Also listed under: 5 other names
Description: tRNA-Val
Rfam family: tRNA
About the family: Transfer RNA (tRNA) molecules are approximately 80 nucleotides in length. Their secondary structure includes four short double-helical elements and three loops (D, anti-codon, and T loops). Further hydrogen bonds mediate the characteristic L-shaped molecular structure. tRNAs have two regions of fundamental functional importance: the anti-codon, which is responsible for specific mRNA codon recognition, and the 3' end, to which the tRNAs corresponding amino acid is attached (by aminoacyl-tRNA synthetases). tRNAs cope with the degeneracy of the genetic code in two manners: having more than one tRNA (with a specific anti-codon) for a particular amino acid; and 'wobble' base-pairing, i.e. permitting non-standard base-pairing at the 3rd anti-codon position.
Source: RNAcentral
GGGCGGAUAGCUCAGCUGGAAGAGCACGGCCCUUACAAGGCCGGGGUCGCAGGUUCGAGCCCUGCUCCGCCCACCA